CUAUAGAGAUACCUUACCUAACCCUAACCCUAACCCUUACCGUAUCAAUAUACGUAUCCAUACAUACACAUACAGUACGUUUUAAUAAAUAAGCUUAUUUAUUAAUAACCUUUAUCCCACUAACAUAAUGUGUAGUCCCAUGAGACUCGAUACAUAGUCGAGCUGUGCAGGUUUUCUCGCCAUCCAAACGUCGUCGCUUAUUCGUGACCACACCUGCAACGUUUAAAGUCCGGUAGACUGCGCACCGUUUUUUUGAGGCAGUGAGAUAGUUCUUACGGACUCCGAUUACAAGAGAGAAAUUGAGGGGCUAGCUCCUGGAUAUUGACUAUUGAACCGAGACCGGCUGUUAAGCUAUGCUGCUACUCCCAUGUAUCGGAUAGCAUAUGUUAAGGAAAUUACUCUCCGGCGGUGAUACCGGAUAAGACGACCAGCACACACACUGGAGCGGACGGUUGAGAAAGCGACGGCCAGCAUAUAUGCGCUCACAGGCCGGUGACGAGGUAGAGAGAGGUGGCAGUCUGAGACGACCGGUGACAUCACCUCCAGGUCCUGACGCCGAGAGAUGAAAACAACUGCUUGCUCAGGGAUUGGUUCUGUUAGGUUCUGCUACACAGAAGGAGAUCUGGGAUCCACCGAGGAGGAAAGUGAUCUACUGAGGAGAGAGGGGAUCUACUGAAGAGAAGUGAUCUACUGAGGAGAGAGGGGAUCUACUGAGGAGAGAGGGGA
Hypomesus transpacificus is the source of this 726-nucleotide long non-coding RNA. RefSeq lists it as uncharacterized. The transcript has 3 exons. Lineage: Eukaryota; Metazoa; Chordata; Actinopteri; Osmeriformes; Osmeridae. The record is from RefSeq and is a predicted model, not a curated record.